GACGAACGCUGGCGGCGUGCUUAACACAUGCAAGUCGAACGAGGUCCAACCGGUGGCAACACCGGGGAAGGCCUAGUGGCGAACGGGUGAGUAACACGUGAGGAACCUGCCCCGAAGUCUGGGAUAACCCUCCGAAAGGAGAGCUAAUACCGGAUACCCUCAUCAGAUCGCAUGUUCAGAUGAGGAAAGAAUUUCGCUUCGGGAGGGCCUCGCGGCCUAUCAGCUUGUUGGUGAGGUAACGGCUUACCAAGGCGACGACGGGUAGCUGGUCUGAGAGGACGAUCAGCCACACUGGGACUGAGACACGGCCCAGACUCCUACGGAGGCAGCAGUGGGGAAUCUUGCGCAAUGGGCGAAAGCCUGACGCAGCAACGCCGCGUGCGGGAUGACGGCCUUCGGGUUGUAAACCGCUUUCAGUGGGGACGAAAUCAGACGGUACCCACAGAAGAAGCCCCGGCCAACUACGUGCCAGCAGCCGCGUAACAC
This 486-nucleotide ribosomal RNA is filed under the name uncultured bacterium. Its description in RNAcentral is "bacterial SSU rRNA". It matches the Rfam family "Bacterial small subunit ribosomal RNA", at positions 28 to 526 of the family's 1533-position model. The record is from RNAcentral.